RNAcentral lists this ribosomal RNA (494 nucleotides) under uncultured bacterium. Its description in RNAcentral is "partial 16S ribosomal RNA". It matches the Rfam family "Bacterial small subunit ribosomal RNA", at positions 28 to 507 of the family's 1533-position model. The record is from RNAcentral.
GACGAACGCUGGCGGCGUGCUUAACACAUGCAAGUCGAACGGUGAAGCGCCUUCCUUUUUGGUGGGUGUGGAUGAGUGGCGAACGGGUGAGUAACACGUGAGUAACCUGCCCCCUUCUUCUGGAUAACCGCAUGAAAGUGUGGCUAAUACGGGAUAUUCUGGGUCUGUCGCAUGAUGGGUCUGGGAAAGAUAUUGUUUCGGUGGGGGAUGGGCUCGCGGCCUAUCAGCUUGUUGGUGGGGUGAUGGCCUACCAAGGCGGUGACGGGUAGCCGGCCUGAGAGGGUGGACGGUCACACUGGGACUGAGACACGGCCCAGACUCCUACGGGAGGCAGCAGUGGGGAAUAUUGCACAAUGGGCGCAAGCCUGAUGCAGCGACGCCGCGUGAGGGAUGGAGGCCUUCGGGUUGUGAACCUCUUUCGCCAGUGAAGCAGGCCUGCCUCGUUUGUGGGUGGGUUGACGGUAGCUGGAAAAGAAGCGCCGGCUAACUACGUG